Molecule: ribosomal RNA, 1482 nt
Filed under: uncultured bacterium
Lineage: Bacteria
Description: 16S ribosomal RNA
Rfam family: Bacterial small subunit ribosomal RNA
Source: RNAcentral
UUAGAGUUUGAUCCUGGCUCAGAACGAACGUUGGCGGCAUGGAUUAGGCAUGCGAGUCGCGCGAAUGCCCGCAAGGGUGGAAGCGGCGUAUGGGGCAGUAAGGCGUGGAUAACCUACCCCGCGAUUCGGCAUAGCCCGUCGAGAGACGGGGUAAUUCCGAGCGAUGUACGGCUGGGGCAUCCUGGCGGUACCAAAGUUCCGGCGUCGUGGGAGGGGUCCACGUGGUAUUAGCUAGUUGGUGAGGUAACGGCUCACCAAGGCUGAGAUGCCUAGCGGGUGUGAGAGCAUGACCCGCGCCACUGGCACUGAGACACUGGCCAGACACCUACGGGUGGCUGCAGUCGAGAAUCUUCGUCAAUGGGCACAAGCCUGAACGAGCGAUGCCGCGUGGGCGAUGAAGGCCUUCGGGUUGUAAAGCCCUGUCGAGGGGGAGAAAGGGAAACUUGAUCUAUCCCUGGAGGAAGCUCGGGCUAAGUUCGUGCCAGCAGCCGCGGUAAGACGAACCGAGCGAACGUUGUUCGGAAUCACUGGGCUUAAAGGGCGCGUAGGCGGGCCGUCAAGCCUGGGGUGAAAUCCUCCCGCUCAACGGGAGAAUGGCCUUGGAUACUGGCGGUCUCGAGGGGGGUAGGGGCGUGCGGAACACUGGGUGGAGCGGUGAAAUGCGUUGAUAUCCAGUGGAACUCCGGUGGCGAAGGCGGCACGCUGGACCCCAUCUGACGCUGAGGCGCGAAAGCCAGGGGAGCGAACGGGAUUAGAUACCCCGGUAGUCCUGGCCCUAAACGAUGAGAACUAGGUAGUCGGCCAGACAUGGGCGGACUGCCGAAGCGAAAGUGCUAAGUUCUCCGCCUGGGGAGUAUGGUCGCAAGGCUGAAACUCAAAGGAAUUGACGGGGGCUCACACAAGCGGUGGAGCAUGUGGCUUAAUUCGAGGCUACGCGAAGAACCUUAUCCUGGGCUUGACAUGUGCGAAAGCGGUGGGAAGUAGAACCCGGAAACGGGAACGAACGGUAUCCAAUCCGGAACCCACUACAGGUGCUGCAUGGCUGUCGUCAGCUCGUGUCGUGAGAUGUCGGGUUAAGUCCCAUAACGAGCGAAACCCUUACCCUCAGUUGCCAGCGGGUCAUGCCGGGGACUCUGGGGGGACUGCCGGUGUCAAACCGGAGGAAGGCGGGGAUGACGUCAAGUCCUCAUGGCCUUUAUGCCCAGGGCUGCACGCGUGCUACAAUGGCGUGAACAGAGGGACGCAAACCCGCGAGGGCGAGCAAAUCCCGGAAAACACGCCCCAGUUCAGAUCGUAGGCUGCAACUCGCCUACGUGAAGUCGGAAUCGCUAGUAAUCGCGGGUCAGCAACACCGCGGUGAACGUGUUCCUGAGCCUUGUACACACCGCCCGUCAAGCCACGAAAGGGAGGAACGUCCGAAGUCACCUUCGCCGGUGCCGAAGAUGGGACUCCUGAUUGGGACUAAGUCGUAACAAGGUAACC